Molecule: ribosomal RNA, 250 nt
Filed under: uncultured prokaryote
Description: partial 16S ribosomal RNA
Rfam family: Bacterial small subunit ribosomal RNA
Source: RNAcentral
UACGGAGGAUGCAAGCGUUAUCCGGAUUUAUUGGGUUUAAAGGGUGCGCAGGCGGCGCGUUAAGUCAGCGGCGAAUCUCCCGGCUCAACCGGAGAACUGCCGUUGAUGCUGGCGUGCUAGAGUACAGACGGCGCCGGCGGAAUGUGUCAUGUAGCGGUGAAAUGCUUAGAUAUGCCACAGAACACCGAUCGCGAAGGCAGCUGGCGAGGCCGGUACUGACGCUCAGGCACGAAAGCGUGGGGAUCAAACA